UGAGGAAUAUUGGUCAAUGGGCGGGAGCCUGAACCAGCCAAGCCGCGUGAGGGAGGAAGGCCCUAUGGGUCGUAAACCUCUUUUGUCAGGGAACAAAAGCGAGUAUGUAUACUAGUCUGAGUGUACCUGAAGAAAAAGCAUCGGCUAACUCCGUGCCAGCAGCCGCGGUAAUACGGAGGAUGCGAGCGUUAUCCGGAUUUAUUGGGUUUAAAGGGUGCGUAGGCGGCGGUGCAAGUCAGCGGUAAAAGCCCGGGGCUCAACCCCGGCGAGCCGCUUGAAACUUGCAAGUGCUAGAGAAGGCGAGAGGUACGCGGAAUGCGCAGUGUAGCGGUGAAAUGCUUAGAUAUUGCGCAGAACUCCGAUUGCGAAGGCAGCGUACUGGCGCCUGACUGACGCUGAGGCACGAAAGUGUGGGGAUCGAACAGGAUUAGAUACC
This 436-nucleotide ribosomal RNA is filed under the name uncultured bacterium. RNAcentral's name for it is "bacterial SSU rRNA". It matches the Rfam family "Bacterial small subunit ribosomal RNA", at positions 355 to 786 of the family's 1533-position model. The record is from RNAcentral.